This 292-nucleotide ribosomal RNA is filed under the name uncultured bacterium. Its description in RNAcentral is "partial 16S ribosomal RNA". The record is from RNAcentral. RNAcentral also lists the same sequence under 1 other name.
GGACUACCAGGGUAUCUAAUCCUGUUUGCUCCCCUAGCUUUCGUGCCUCAGUGUCAGGAGUCGUCCAGAGACUCGCCUUCGCCACUGGUGUUCCUCUCGAUAUCUACGCAUUUCACUGCUACACCGAGAAUUCCAGUCUCCCCUCCGACCCUCCAGCUGGGAAGUAUUCAAUGCCAUUUCGGAGUUAAGCUCCGAGCUUUCACAUCAAACUUUCCCAGCCACCUACGCACCCUUUACGCCCAGUGAAUCCGAACAACGCUUGGGACCUCUGUAUUACCGCGGCUGCUGGCAC